Molecule: ribosomal RNA, 433 nt
Filed under: uncultured bacterium
Lineage: Bacteria
Description: partial 16S ribosomal RNA
Rfam family: Bacterial small subunit ribosomal RNA
Source: RNAcentral
AGCGAACGCUGGCGGCAGGCUUAACACAUGCAAGUCGAGCGGGCACUUCGGUGUCAGCGGCAGACGGGUGAGUAACACGUGGGAACGUACCCUUCGGUUCGGAAUAACGCUGGGAAACUAGCGCUAAUACCGGAUACGCCCUUUUGGGGAAAGGUUUACUGCCGAAGGAUCGGCCCGCGUCUGAUUAGCUAGUUGGUGGGGUAAUGGCCUACCAAGGCGACGAUCAGUAGCUGGUCUGAGAGGAUGAUCAGCCACACUGGGACUGAGACACGGCCCAGACUCCUGCGGGAGGCAGCAGUGGGGAAUAUUGGACAAUGGGCGCAAGCCUGAUCCAGCCAUGCCGCGUGAGUGAUGAAGGCCUUAGGGUUGUAAAGCUCUUUUGUCCGGGACGAUAAUGACGGUACCGGAAGAAUAAGCCCCGGCUAACUUCGUG